This 72-nucleotide transfer RNA is filed under the name Heliconius melpomene (postman butterfly). RNAcentral's name for it is "tRNA HMEL016556". The record is from RNAcentral. Lineage: Eukaryota; Metazoa; Arthropoda; Insecta; Lepidoptera; Nymphalidae.
CCUAUCGUGGCGCAACGGAACAGUCUCUGACUGUAAAUGAGAUGGUUGUGGGUGCGAUUCCCACCUGGAAUA